AAACAUAGCCUUUAGCAAAACAAGUAUUAAAGGCGACGCCUGCCCAGUGAAAUUUAAACGGCCGCGGUAUCCUAACCGUGCAAAGGUAGCGUAAUCACUUGUCUUAUAAAUAAAGACCCGUAUGAACGGCUAAAUGAAUAUUUAACUGUCUCCUUUAACUAAUCAGUGAAACUGAUCUUUCAGUACAAAAGCUGAAAUCAAAAUAUAAGACGAGAAGACCCUGUGGAGCUUCAAAUUUUUAACAGGGCAUUUUUAAAAGAGUGCUUAUGAUAAAAAAUUUUAAGUUGGGGCGACUUUGGAGUAGAACCCAACCUCCAAGAGACGGCAUUGCCGAAACUAGGGCUAACCCGCCAAACAUGUGAUCCAGUAUUAUAGACUGAUCAACGAACCAAGUUACCCCAGGGAUAACAGCGCUAUCUUCUUCAAGAGUUCCUAUCGACAAGAAGGUUUACGACCUCGAUGUUGGAUCAGGACACCCAAAUGGUGUAGCCGCUAUUAAAGGUUCGUUUGUUCAACGAUUAACAGUCCUACGUGAU
This 536-nucleotide ribosomal RNA is filed under the name Anolis tenorioensis. Its description in RNAcentral is "partial 16S ribosomal RNA". It matches the Rfam family "Bacterial large subunit ribosomal RNA", at positions 1811 to 2604 of the family's 2925-position model. Lineage: Eukaryota; Metazoa; Chordata; Lepidosauria; Squamata; Anolidae. The record is from RNAcentral.